RNAcentral lists this ribosomal RNA (31 nucleotides) under Dermanyssus gallinae. Its description in RNAcentral is "partial 28S ribosomal RNA". Lineage: Eukaryota; Metazoa; Arthropoda; Arachnida; Mesostigmata; Dermanyssidae. RNAcentral also lists the same sequence under 1 other name. The record is from RNAcentral.
CUGAAAUCAAGUGUGACGACCCCCUGAAUUU